GACGAACGCUGGCGGCGUGCCUAAUACAUGCAAGUCGAACGCAGUGGGGAUAGGUGAGUAACACGUGGGUAACCUCCCAUCAGAGGGGAUAACACUUGGAAACUGGUGCUAAACUGAUACUGUUGGAUGGACCCGCGGGGCAUCAGCUAGUUGGUGAGGUCACGGCUCACCGAGGCUACGAUGCAUAGACGACCUGAGAGGGUGAUCGGCCACACUGGGACUGAGACACGGCCCAGACUCCGACGGGAGGCAGCAGUAGGGAAUCUUCGGCAAUGGACGAAAGUCUGACCGAGCAACGCCGCGUGAGUGAAGAAGGUUUUCGGAUCGUAAAACUCUGUUGUUGGAGAAGCGGUAUCUAACCAAAAAGCCACGGCUAACUACGUGCCAGCAGCCGCGGUAAUAC
RNAcentral lists this ribosomal RNA (403 nucleotides) under uncultured bacterium. Its description in RNAcentral is "partial 16S ribosomal RNA". It matches the Rfam family "Bacterial small subunit ribosomal RNA", at positions 28 to 526 of the family's 1533-position model. The record is from RNAcentral.